AGAGUUUGAUCCUGGCUCAGAAUGAACGCUGGCGGCGUGCUUAACACAUGCAAGUCGAACGAGAAAGAACCUGCUUGCAGGUUCGAGUAGAGUGGCGCCCGGGUGAGUAACGCGUGGAUAAUCUACCUUUGGAUCUGGGAUAACAUUGCGAAAGCGGUGCUAAUACCGGAUAAGAUCGCAAAUUUUGCGGAAUUAGCGAUGAAAGGCCGCCGAUCCUUGGAAGCGGUUGUCUGGAGAUGAGUCCGCGUACCAUUAGCUAGUUGGUGGGGUAAAGGCCUACCAAGGUGACGAUGGUUAGCUGGUCUGAGAGGAUGAUCAGCCACACUGGAACUGACACACGGUCCAGACUCCUACGGGAGGCAGCAGUGAGGAAUUUUGCGCAAUGGGGUAACCCCUGACGCAGCAACGCCGCGUGAGUGAUGAAGGCUUUUGGGUCGUAAAGCUCUGUCAAUGGGAAAGAAAUUAUUUAUGGUAAAUAACCAUAGGUAUUGACGGUACCCAUGAAGGAAGCACCGGCUAACUCCGUGCCAGCAGCCGCGGUAAUACGGGGGGUGCAAGCGUUAUUCGGAAUUAUUGGGCGUAAAGGGCGCGCAGGCGGUAUUAUAGGUCAGAUGUGAAAGUUCAGGGCUCACCCCCGAAAGAGCAUUUGAAACCAUAAUACUUGAGUAUGGGAGAGGGAAGUGGAAUUCCAGGUGUAGAGGUGAAAUUCGUAGAUAUCUGGAGGAACACCGGUGGCGAAGGCGACUUCCUGGACCAAUACUGACGCUGAGGCGCGAAGGCGUGGGUAGCGAACAGGAUUAGAUACCCUGGUAGUCCACGCAGUAAACGUUGUACACUAGGUGUAGCGGGUAUUGACCCUUGCUGUGCCGCAGCAAACGCAUUAAGUGUACCGCCUGGGGAGUACGAUCGCAAGAUUAAAACUCAAAGGAAUUGACGGGGGCCCGCACAAGCGGUGGAGCAUGUGGUUUAAUUCGACGCAACGCGAAGAACCUUACCUGGAUUUGACAUCCUGGGAAUACUUAAGAAAUUAAGUAGUGCCUUUCGGGGAGCCCAGAGACAGGUGCUGCAUGGCUGUCGUCAGCUCGUGUCGUGAGAUGUUGGGUUAAGUCCCGCAACGAGCGCAACCCUUAUCUUUAGUUACCAUCAUUUAGUUGGGGACUCUAGAGAUACUGCCCCGGUUAACGGGGAGGAAGGUGGGGAUGACGUC
This 1207-nucleotide ribosomal RNA is filed under the name metagenome. RNAcentral's name for it is "bacterial SSU rRNA". It matches the Rfam family "Bacterial small subunit ribosomal RNA", at positions 8 to 1186 of the family's 1533-position model. The record is from RNAcentral.